RNAcentral lists this ribosomal RNA (233 nucleotides) under uncultured bacterium. RNAcentral's name for it is "partial 16S ribosomal RNA". It matches the Rfam family "Bacterial small subunit ribosomal RNA", at positions 118 to 347 of the family's 1533-position model. The record is from RNAcentral.
UGAGUAACCUGCCCUUAACUCUGGGAUAAGCCUGGGAAACUGGGUCUAAUACCGGAUAUGACUCCUCAUCGCAUGGUGGGGGGUGGAAAGCUUUAUUGUGGUUCUGGAUGGACUCGCGGCCUAUCAGCUUGUUGGUGAGGUAAUGGCUCACCAAGGCGACGACGGGUAGCCGGCCUGAGAGGGUGACCGGCCACACUGGGACUGAGACACGGCCCAGACUCCUACGGGAGCAG